This 405-nucleotide ribosomal RNA is filed under the name uncultured bacterium. RNAcentral describes it as "bacterial SSU rRNA". It matches the Rfam family "Bacterial small subunit ribosomal RNA", at positions 361 to 776 of the family's 1533-position model. The record is from RNAcentral.
AUAUUACACAAUGGGCGCAAGCCUGAUGCAGCAACGCCGCGUGAGGGAUGACGGCCUUCGGGUUGUAAACCUCUUUUGGCAGGGAAGAAGCCUUCGGGUGACGGUACCUGCAGAAAAAGCACCGGCUAACUACGUGCCAGCAGCCGCGGUAAUACGUAGGGUGCAAGCGUUAUCCGGAAUUAUUGGGCGUAAAGAGCUCGUAGGCGGUUUGUCGCGUCUGCUGUGAAAUCCCGAGGCUCAACCUCGGGCCUGCAGUGGGUACGGGCAGACUAGAGUGCGGUAGGGGAGAUUGGAAUUCCUGGUGUAGCGGUGGAAUGCGCAGAUAUCAGGAGGAACACCGAUGGCGAAGGCAGAUCUCUGGGCCGUAACUGACGCUGAGGAGCGAAAGGGUGGGGAGCAAACAGG